UAGUCCACGCCCUAAACGAUGUCAACUAGCUGUUGGGGCCUUCGGGCCUUGGUAGCGCAGCUAACGCGUGAAGUUGACCGCCUGGGGAGUACGGUCGCAAGAUUAAAACUCAAAGGAAUUGACGGGGACCCGCACAAGCGGUGGAUGAUGUGGAUUAAUUCGAUGCAACGCGAAAAACCUUACCUACCCUUGACAUGUCUGGAAUCCCGAAGAGAUUUGGGAGUGCUCGCAAGAGAACCGGAACAC
RNAcentral lists this ribosomal RNA (246 nucleotides) under uncultured bacterium. Its description in RNAcentral is "partial 16S ribosomal RNA". It matches the Rfam family "Bacterial small subunit ribosomal RNA", at positions 791 to 1035 of the family's 1533-position model. The record is from RNAcentral.